CUAGAUCGAACAAAUCAUUUACUUGAAAAGCCGAAGCUAUCGCAUUCACAUCAUCAUUAGACUCAACAACAUCAUAAUCAACAUCGUCCUGUGCAUCAAUAUAUUUCAUGCUCCUAGCUAACUUAUAGGUAGCCUACUCCUUGCCAACACACAAGGUGAGGGUCUUCUCAAACACAUCUAUAAUUGCUUUUGAAGUGUUGAGAAAGGUCCUACCUAAGAUUAGAGAAACGUCAUUUUCACUGGUAUCAACUACCACGAAAUUGACGAGGAAUAUAAAAUUUCCAUUUCACACAAAAACAUCUUCCACUACUCCUCUAGGAAUUUAAAGACUUUUAUCCGCUGGUUUGAUUCUCAUUUUAGUCGGUUUAAACUCAUUUAGGUCUAAUGCUUAAUAAACUGAAUUUAUACUAGCACCUAAGUGUGCUAAGCCUUUUUCAAUGUCAAGUGCAUCAAUCCUACAAGUGAUAUGGAAGCUACGUGGAUCCAUGAGCCUUAUAGGGAUGUGUGUGGAGACGACGGCUGAGCAUUGUUCAUUGAGGGUGACAUUUGCAGCUUCCGUUAGUUUCCUCUUAUUGGUGAAAAUCUCCUUCAUGAACAUGGCGUACAGUGGCAUCUUCAAAAUGGAUUCAGUGAAAGGAAGUGUGAAUUGGACUCCCCUAAGC
This 662-nucleotide long non-coding RNA is filed under the name Linum usitatissimum (flax). Its description in RNAcentral is "long non-coding RNA (LUSI_LNC006543)". Lineage: Eukaryota; Viridiplantae; Streptophyta; Magnoliopsida; Malpighiales; Linaceae. The record is from RNAcentral.